UGCCGGGUAGUGCAACGGUAGUCACGCCGCGCUCUGGACGCGGAAAUCUAGGUUCGAAUCCUAGCCCGGCAG
This is a non-coding RNA of Candidatus Ryanbacteria bacterium, 72 nucleotides long. The record is from Rfam. Lineage: Bacteria; Candidatus Ryaniibacteriota.